Molecule: long non-coding RNA, 123 nt
Organism: Alosa sapidissima (American shad)
Lineage: Eukaryota; Metazoa; Chordata; Actinopteri; Clupeiformes; Clupeidae
Exons: 3
Source: RefSeq, a predicted model, not a curated record
CUAGGCUGUAUGGUAGAGGGUGACAAUUUUUCGGGACUCCCGCGGGUCACGGUAUUCCCGUGGGAGUCUUGCGGUACGGGAGUCAAUUUCACUGUUGGUAACGUGAUAGGGACGGGGCGGGCA